UUCGGUCCUCGGUAGUGGUCUUCGGGUCCGCCGGCCCCGUGCCGGCGCGCAGGUCGUCACCUGCCCGACCCGCGGACCUCGAUCGAAGACCGGC
Regulatory RNA element from Friedmanniella luteola, 94 nucleotides. It matches the Rfam family "Actino-pnp RNA". The record is from Rfam. Lineage: Bacteria; Bacillati; Actinomycetota; Actinomycetes; Propionibacteriales; Nocardioidaceae.